Molecule: non-coding RNA, 198 nt
Organism: Clostridium sp. CAG:557
Lineage: Bacteria; Bacillati; Bacillota; Clostridia; Eubacteriales; Clostridiaceae
Source: Rfam
UAGAACUGAUAAUCCGAUGAGUGGAAUGAGGGAGUAACGCCCUGAAACGCUCACACUGAUACUCCGACUGGCUCUGCCGAGAAGGCAGAUGUUCAGAAGCUCGGUGAAGUCGGCAGAGAGUGACCGUAAGUUGUGAUAAAAUAACACGAAAGUUGUCUGGAGGCAGAUGGCGUCACCUAUAUGCCGGGUGUCUAAAAA